CAGCCGCCGCGGGAAUACGAAGGGGGCUAGCGUUGCUCGGAAUUACUGGGCGUAAAGGGAGCGUAGGCGGAUCGUUAAGUUGGGGGUGAAAGCCCGGGGCUCAACCUCGGAAUUGCCUUCAAUACUGGCGAUCUUGAGUAUGGAAGAGGUAUGUGGAACUCCGAGUGUAGAGGUGAAAUUCGUAGAUAUUCGGAAGAACACCAGUGGCGAAGGCGACAUACUGGUCCAUUACUGACGCUGAGGCUCGAAAGCGUGGGGAGCAAACAGGAUUAGAUACCCCCGUAGUCCCUGUCUCUUAUAA
This 301-nucleotide ribosomal RNA is filed under the name uncultured bacterium. Its description in RNAcentral is "partial 16S ribosomal RNA". It matches the Rfam family "Bacterial small subunit ribosomal RNA", at positions 509 to 809 of the family's 1533-position model. The record is from RNAcentral.